This 311-nucleotide ribosomal RNA is filed under the name uncultured bacterium. RNAcentral's name for it is "bacterial SSU rRNA". It matches the Rfam family "Bacterial small subunit ribosomal RNA", at positions 28 to 334 of the family's 1533-position model. The record is from RNAcentral.
GAUAAACGCUGACAGAAUGCUUAACACAUGCAAGUCGAUGAUGGGAAGCUAAGCCUAGCUUAGAAGAAGUCAUGGCGGACGGGUGAGUAACGUGUAAAGAACUUGCCCUCUAGACUGGGAUAACAGAUAGAAAUGUCUGAUAAUACCGGAUAUUAUUGUUACAUGGCAUCAUGUAGGAAUGAAAGGAUAAGAUUGCUAGAGGAGAGCUUUGCAUCCUAUUAGCUAGUUGGUAAGGUAGCGGCUUACCAAGGCGAUGAUAGGUAGCCGGCCUGAGGGGUGGACGGCCACAAGGGGACUGAGAUACGGCCCUU